UAUUGAGAUUUUUCCACAUAAACUUCUCAUGCCUCUUGUUUGAAUUUUUAUAGUGAAAAUACACUAACCUGGUGCUCUAGGGUCAAUGUCAACACAGUACUAAUUAAAUUAUUAUAUAUUGCUAUUUUGUUGGGUGUAUUACCCAUGUUUCCUGUAGUAUUUAUAUAUUUUUAUUACACAUGUUACAUAUUUAUUGUUUGUGUACUGCAUAUGUUAUUGUUUAUAAUAA
This 229-nucleotide long non-coding RNA is filed under the name Mytilus galloprovincialis (Mediterranean mussel). Lineage: Eukaryota; Metazoa; Mollusca; Bivalvia; Mytilida; Mytilidae. The record is from RNAcentral.